UACGGAGGAUCCAAGCGUUAUCCGGAAUCAUUGGGUUUAAAGGGUCCGUAGGCGGUUUUAUAAGUCAGUGGUGAAAUCCGGCAGCUCAACUGUCGAACUGCCAUUGAUACUGUUAAACUUGAAUUAUUAGGAAGUAACUAGAAUAUGUAGUGUAGCGGUGAAAUGCUUAGAGAUUACAUGGAAUACCAAUUGCGAAGGCAGGUUACUACUAAUGGAUUGACGCUGAUGGACGAAAGCGUGGGUAGCGAACAGG
RNAcentral lists this ribosomal RNA (253 nucleotides) under uncultured bacterium. RNAcentral's name for it is "partial 16S ribosomal RNA". It matches the Rfam family "Bacterial small subunit ribosomal RNA", at positions 524 to 776 of the family's 1533-position model. The record is from RNAcentral.